GAUGAAGAACGUAGCGAAAUGCGAUAAGUAAUGUGAAUUGCAGAAUUCAGUGAAUCAUCGAAUCUUUGAACGCACCUUGCGCUCUUUGGUAUUCCGAAGAGCAUGCCUGUUUGAGUGUCAUGAAAAUAUCAACCUUGACUUGGGUUUUGUGCUCUAGUCUCGGCUUGGAAUUGGGUGUUUGCCGCUUUUACGAGCGGCUCACCUUAAAUGUAUUAGCUGGAUCUGUCUUUGAGACUUGGUUUGACUUGGCGUAAUAAGUAUUUCGCUAAGGACAUUCUUCGGAGUGGCCUCGUUUCUAGGACGCUUGUCCGCUUUCCAAUACAAGUUCCACCUCGUGGACAUGACUUUUUAUUAUCUGGCCUCAAAUCAGGUAGGACUACCCGCUGAACUUAAGCAUAUCAAUAAGCGGAGGA
RNAcentral lists this unclassified non-coding RNA (413 nucleotides) under soil metagenome. Its description in RNAcentral is "partial contains 5.8S ribosomal RNA, internal transcribed spacer 2, and large subunit ribosomal RNA". The stretch from base 1 to 120 matches the Rfam family "5.8S ribosomal RNA", at positions 35 to 154 of the family's 154-position model. The record is from RNAcentral.